GCUCAUGUAGCUCAGGGGUAGAGCACACCCUUGGUAAGGGUGAGGUCAACGGUUCAAUUCCGUUCAUGAGCUCCA
Molecule: transfer RNA, 75 nt
Filed under: Vreelandella subglaciescola
Lineage: Bacteria; Pseudomonadati; Pseudomonadota; Gammaproteobacteria; Oceanospirillales; Halomonadaceae
Description: tRNA-Thr
Rfam family: tRNA
About the family: Transfer RNA (tRNA) molecules are approximately 80 nucleotides in length. Their secondary structure includes four short double-helical elements and three loops (D, anti-codon, and T loops).
Source: RNAcentral